This 472-nucleotide ribosomal RNA is filed under the name uncultured bacterium. RNAcentral describes it as "partial 16S ribosomal RNA". It matches the Rfam family "Bacterial small subunit ribosomal RNA", at positions 28 to 507 of the family's 1533-position model. The record is from RNAcentral.
GACGAACGCUGGCGGCGUGCUUAACACAUGCAAGUCGAACGCUUAAGCUUGGUGCUUGCCCUGGGUGGAUGAGUGGCGAACGGGUGAGUAAUACGUGAGUAACCUGCCCUUGACUCUGGGAUAAGCCUGGGAAACUGGGUCUAAUACUGGAUAUGACAUGCCACUGCAUGGUGGUGUGUGGAAAGGGUUUUACUGGUUUUGGAUGGGCUCACGGCCUAUCAGCUUGUUGGUGGGGUAAUGGCCUACCAAGGCGACGACGGGUAGCCGGCCUGAGAGGGUGACCGGCCACACUGGGACUGAGACACGGCCCAGACUCCUACGGGAGGCAGCAGUGGGGAAUAUUGCACAAUGGGCGGAAGCCUGAUGCAGCGACGCCGCGUGAGGGAUGACGGCCUUCGGGUUGUAAACCUCUUUCAGCACGGAAGAAGCGAGAGUGACGGUACGUGCAGAAGAAGCGCCGGCUAACUACGUG